RNAcentral lists this long non-coding RNA (221 nucleotides) under Phoenix dactylifera (date palm). RNAcentral describes it as "long non-coding RNA (PDAC_LNC012098)". Lineage: Eukaryota; Viridiplantae; Streptophyta; Magnoliopsida; Arecales; Arecaceae. The record is from RNAcentral.
GAAUUGGCUUCUAAUGAAUGGAGCCAUUGUUUAGCUCUAUCCUUAAGGGAAAAAGGAAAUAGCCUAAGUUUCAGAGCAUCAUCAGUGAAGUUCUGAAUUUUGACAGUGGUACAAAUCUCAAGGAGCUCAUCUAAAUAUUUGUAUGGGUCUUCAUUAUUGAGUCCAUAAAAAGAGGGAAGCAUUUGGAUGACACUAGACUUAAUUUCAAAUUGCAUAGCAGC